GAUGAGCGCUGGCGGCGUGCCUAAUACAUGCAAGUCGAGCGAACGGACGAGAAGCUUGCUUCUCUGAUGUUAGCGGCGGACGGGUGAGUAACACGUGGAUAACCUACCUAUAAGACUGGGAUAACUUCGGGAAACCGUAGCUAAUACCGGAUAAUAUUUUGAACCGCAUGGUUCAAAAGUGAAAGACGGUCUUGCUGUCACUUAUAGAUGGAUCCGCGCUGCAUUAGCUAGUUGGUAAGGUAACGGCUUACCAAGGCAACGAUGCAUAGCCGACCUGCGAGGGUGAUCGGCCACACUGGAACUGAGACACGGUCCAGACUCCUACGGGAGGCAGCAGUAGGGAAUCUUCCGCAAUGGGCGAAAGCCUGACGGAGCAACGCCGCGUGAGUGAUGAAGGUCUUCGGAUCGUAAAACUCUGUUAUUAGGGAAGAACAUAUGUGUAAGUAACUGUGCACAUCUUGACGGUACCUAAUCAGAAAGCCACGGCUAACUACGUG
Molecule: ribosomal RNA, 497 nt
Filed under: uncultured bacterium
Lineage: Bacteria
Description: partial 16S ribosomal RNA
Rfam family: Bacterial small subunit ribosomal RNA
Source: RNAcentral